GGCAGUUAGGCUGCAGUGAAUUCUACAAAGAGGCUAUGGGAAAGAAACCUGGAAAGUACCCUUGGCUGUGUACAUUUGAGUAAAGAGAGCACUAUAAAAUCAAAAACCAAUGAAAUGGUUUCCAGAACACAGAACUAUUAAGCUUAAGAAAAGGACAGAAGGAACUGAAGAGAGAGGAACUGUUUUGGAGCAUCACACUUCCACCUCAGAAGAAAUAAGGAAGGAAGGAGGAGGGUGUUCCCACGGCUCUUCAACCAGGCCGGCUCUUCAGCCUACAUCCCCAUCUCAUCAAGUAAAAGGGAUUUUUCAACUGGACCAACCAGAUGGUUUAACAGUGCACUCCCACACCAUUCAACUACGCAAGGGAGAUACACUUAACAUAUGCAGUCGUAUAACACCUACUAACAUUUUCAAACAUUAAACCUUUAAAAAAGAGUUCUAAAGAAAUAGAAGCUUGAAGUAUCAUCUCUCAAGUAUAUAGACACUACUUCAUGGUGUGGUAAUAUAUGCAUAUAGAAGCUAGUAAACACCUCCAGGAGAUGCAAAAGGAAUUAGAACUGCCACAAGGUGCAAGCAAAACCUUGAGGUAAUCAAUCUGCAUCCCAUUUUGGAUGAGAAUAUUUGCAACUUUGAAGGUUAUUUUAAGGACAGCAGCAGAAGAAUUAUGGCAGGUAUCUGAAAUUCAUUUCUGUGCUUUGCCGAGGACCCAUGGGAUGCCAUUUGCAGAUGAGAAAACUAAAGAAUAGCUUUAUCUUCCAGCUCUUCACGGAAAAAAAAAUGGCAACAAUAAAAUCAGCAACUCCUGCCAAAUAAAUGGGCAUAAAAAAGAAAUCAUAGACUGCUGGCAAUGGUGGGGAAAAAGUUAUAAAAAUUGUCUCUGCACCAUCUUCCUUUUGUCCUCUAAAAUAUUCACAUUAGCAAAAGUAUAUAACAGCUGAUGAAGAAAUACUGAUAAUUUGUCUUUCUUCUUUAAAAUAUGAAGACUUCGAAGUUAUUUAUCCAAACCAACCUGAUCAUUUCUUAAGAGUGAAUAUACCUUGGAAGACGUGUCCUGCCUUUAGUAGCGUCACAAUGGAUUACAUCCUCUAUAAAGCAGUCUGGGAGGCUAACAUCUGCCACAAGACAAAUAUGGUGCCUGCCCCCAUGGAGCUCAUAUUCGAAUGGAGAAAAUGUCAACAAGUAUCCCACGGAGUGAACACUUCAAAAGGAGAAGCACAGGUGAGAAAAUCGAAUUUGGACACCGUUGAGGAGACUAUUGCAGUCAUCCAAGCUCAAGAUGGUGGAGCUUCAUCCUUGAGAAUAACCAAUGGGGAUAGAUUUAAGAGACACUUAGAGUCUGCAGCCAACAGGGCUGAAUGAGCAGAGAGUUAUGAUUCAGAAGAUCAUCUAAAAUUGAACAGCUGCCACUACUGGCAAUAAGUCUACUGCCAUUUGGUAGAUAACCUUCUUAUCACACAGAAAAAUAUCAGUACAGACAAAUAGACCGCAAAGAAAAUGAGACCAUCAGCAAAGAAGAUAAAGAAGUUUGUACAAAGCAACUUUUUAUAAAUGGAUGGCUGUCAGGCAAAAAUAAAUUUCCUGUGGACAAGACCAAGAGCAAGGCAAGAGGAAAAUAAACAUGUUUAAACU
This 1629-nucleotide long non-coding RNA is filed under the name Homo sapiens (human). Its description in RNAcentral is "long intergenic non-protein coding RNA 343". The record is from RNAcentral. Lineage: Eukaryota; Metazoa; Chordata; Mammalia; Primates; Hominidae.